RNAcentral lists this ribosomal RNA (430 nucleotides) under Bacillota bacterium. Its description in RNAcentral is "Firmicutes bacterium partial 16S ribosomal RNA". It matches the Rfam family "Bacterial small subunit ribosomal RNA", at positions 355 to 776 of the family's 1533-position model. Lineage: Bacteria; Bacillati; Bacillota. The record is from RNAcentral.
UAGGGAAUCUUCCGCAAUGGACGAAAGUCUGACGGAGCGACGCCGCGUGAGCGAAGAAGGUCUUCGGAUCGUAAAGCUCUGUUGUUAGGGAAGAAGAAGUGCCGUUCGAACAGGGCGGCGCGGUGACGGUACCUAACGAGAACGCCCCGGCUAACUACGUGCCAGCAGCCGCGGUAAUACGUAGGGGGCGAGCGUUGUCCGGAAUUAUUGGGCGUAAAGCGCGCGCAGGCGGGCCCUUAAGUCGGAUGUGAAAGCCCACGGCUUAACCGUGGAGGGUCAUUGGAAACUUGGGGGCUUGAGUGCAGAAGAAGAGAGCGGAAUUCCACGUGGAGCGGUGAAAUGCGUAGAGAUGUGGAGGAACACCAGUGGCGAAGGCGGCUCUCUGGUCUGUAACUGACGCUGAGGCGCGAAAGCGUGGUGAGCAAACAGG